AGCUCGUAGGCGGUUUGUCGCGUCUGCCGUGAAAGUCCGGGGCUCAACUCCGGAUCUGCGGUGGGUACGGGCAGACUAGAGUGAUGUAGGGGAGACUGGAAUUCCUGGUGUAGCGGUGAAAUGCGCAGAUAUCAGGAGGAACACCGAUGGCGAAGGCAGGUCUCUGGGCAUUAACUGACGCUGAGGAGCGAAAGCAUGGGGAGCGAACAGGAUUAGAUACCCUGGUAGUCCAUGCCGUAAACGUUGGGCACUAGGUGUGGGGGACAUUCCACGUUUUCCGCGCCGUAGCUAACGCAUUAAGUGCCCCGCCUGGGGAGUACGGCCGCAAGGCUAAAACUCAAAGGAAUUGACGGGGGCCCGCACAAGCGGCGGAGCAUGCGGAUUAAUUCGAUGCAACGCGAAGAACCUUACCAAGGCUUGACAUGGGCCGGACCGGGCUGGAAACAGUCCUUCCCCUUUGGGGCCGGUUCACAGGUGAUGCAUGGUUGUCGUCAGCUCGUGUCGUGAGAUGUUGGGUUAAGUCCCGCAACGAGCGCAACCCUCGUUCCAUGUUGCCAGCGCGUAAUGGCGGGGACUCAUGGGAGACUGCCGGGGUCAACUCGGAGGAAGGUGGGGACGACGUCAAAUCAUCAUGCCCCUUAUGUCUUGGGCUUCACGCAUGCUACAAUGGCCGGUACAAAGGGUUGCGAUACUGUGAGGUGGAGCUAAUCCCAAAAAGCCGGUCUCAGUUCGGAUUGGGGUCUGCAACUCGACCCCAUGAAGUCGGAGUCGCUAGUAAUCGCAGAUCAGCAACGCUGCGGUGAAUACGUUCCCGGGCCUUGUACACACCGCCCGUCAAGUCACGAAAGUUGGUAACACCCGAAGCCGGUGGCCUAACCCCUUGUGGGAGGGAG
Molecule: ribosomal RNA, 893 nt
Filed under: uncultured bacterium
Lineage: Bacteria
Description: bacterial SSU rRNA
Rfam family: Bacterial small subunit ribosomal RNA
Source: RNAcentral